RNAcentral lists this long non-coding RNA (296 nucleotides) under Solanum tuberosum (potato). Its description in RNAcentral is "long non-coding RNA (STUB_LNC000644)". The record is from RNAcentral. Lineage: Eukaryota; Viridiplantae; Streptophyta; Magnoliopsida; Solanales; Solanaceae.
UUUAAACUCAUUCCGCCCUUCUUUCAUAUUUGUGUGGUUCAGUCUCUGUUUUUGUGUUUCAAACUUCUUUGUUUCUUUGAUGAGGAACCCAAAAAAGUAGCACUUGAGAAAGGAAGAGGUGGAAUUGUGAUAAUUCAUAUAAAGGUAGGUCUUUGUACACUUUUUACUAAUAUGUAAUAUCAUCUUAGUUAGCACAAGGUGUUUAAAUUUUCACAUCAUAGUUACGAAUUGGUUCUUGCAGGGAUUUAGAUCAAAAUUGAGUAUGAAGAAGGAUAUAUUAAGAAUUAGAAGCGGAG